CUGCGGAGGGAUCAUUACCGAGUUUACAACUCCCAAACCCAAUGUGAACGUUACCAAACUGUUGCCUCGGCGGGGUCACGCCCCGGGUGCGUCGCAGCCCCGGAACCAGGCGCCCGCCGGAGGAACCAACCAAACUCUUUCUGUAGUCCCCUCGCGGACGUAUUUCUUUACAGCUCUGAGCAAAAAUUCAAAAUGAAUCAAAACUUUCAACAACGGAUCUCUUGGUUCUGGCAUCGAUGAAGAACGCAGCGAAAUGCGAUAAGUAAUGUGAAUUGCAGAAUUCAGUGAAUCAUCGAAUCUUUGAACGCACAUUGCGCCCGCCAGUAUUCUGGCGGGCAUGCCUGUCCGAGCGUCAUUUCAACCCUCGAACCCCUCCGGGGGAUCGGCGUUGGGGAUCGGGACCCCUCACACGGGUGCCGGCCCCUAAAUACAGUGGCGGUCUCGCCGCAGCCUCUCCUGCGCAGUAGUUUGCACAACUCGCACCGGGAGCGCGGCGCGUCCACGUCCGUAAAACACCCAACUUUCUGAAAUGUUGACCUCGGAUCAGGUAGGAAUACCCGCUGAACUUAAGCAUAUCAAUAA
Molecule: small RNA, 582 nt
Filed under: Trichoderma asperellum
Lineage: Eukaryota; Fungi; Ascomycota; Sordariomycetes; Hypocreales; Hypocreaceae
Description: eukaryotic LSU rRNA
Rfam family: 5.8S ribosomal RNA (bases 202-355)
Source: RNAcentral